RNAcentral lists this unclassified non-coding RNA (284 nucleotides) under Glomeraceae sp. RNAcentral describes it as "partial contains 5.8S ribosomal RNA and internal transcribed spacer 2". The stretch from base 1 to 65 matches the Rfam family "5.8S ribosomal RNA", at positions 84 to 154 of the family's 154-position model. Lineage: Eukaryota; Fungi; Glomeromycota; Glomeromycetes; Glomerales; Glomeraceae. The record is from RNAcentral.
GUGAAUCAUCAAAUCUUUGAACGCAAAUUGCACUCUCUUCGGAGAGUACGACUGUUUGAGGGUCAGUAUCAAUAAAAAUCGGUGUGUUGCUUCUUUGUGAUGGAAAGGGGGUUGGGUCAUCUUAAUAUCCUUCAGGUUUUAAGAGGCUCAAAAUUGACUUUUUUUGAGCAUUUUAGUUGUACAUCAAUUCUUUUUUAUAUUCGUCUGUCUUAAUGCUCAAAAUCCUAUUAGAUGCGUCCAUAUCGUGUGGACUCGUGUCUAUAACUUUUUCAUGAUUAGUCCUC